Molecule: ribosomal RNA, 90 nt
Filed under: Saimiri boliviensis boliviensis (Bolivian squirrel monkey)
Lineage: Eukaryota; Metazoa; Chordata; Mammalia; Primates; Cebidae
Source: RNAcentral
UAUGGCCAUACCACCCUGAAUGCACCCGAUCUUGUCUGAUCUCAGAAGCUCAGCAGAGUUGGGCCUGGCUAAUACUUGGAGAAAUAAUAU